RNAcentral lists this long non-coding RNA (235 nucleotides) under Solanum tuberosum (potato). RNAcentral's name for it is "long non-coding RNA (STUB_LNC007473)". Lineage: Eukaryota; Viridiplantae; Streptophyta; Magnoliopsida; Solanales; Solanaceae. The record is from RNAcentral.
GGUGGUCUACUUGCCUAAGGAAGACCGGUAUAUAUAGCUUAAUGGAUCCACUAGCUUCCUAUGCGGGCACAUAGUUUAUGGGAUAAGGUAGACGAUCAUUGAAACUCAUGCCUAACUGUCGGGGGAGUUUCCAUCUAACCAAAUCCGCUCGGUGCUUAGCCUACAUUCCCAUAGAAUAGUUCAUUACUUUGACAUUAUCAGACAUGAAAGGGUGCCAUAAGCCUGCCGAUUCAAG